This 453-nucleotide ribosomal RNA is filed under the name uncultured bacterium. RNAcentral describes it as "bacterial SSU rRNA". It matches the Rfam family "Bacterial small subunit ribosomal RNA", at positions 8 to 507 of the family's 1533-position model. The record is from RNAcentral.
AGAGUUUGAUCAUGGCUCAGAGCGAACGCUGGCGGCAGGCCUAAUACAUGCAAGUCGAGCGGGUCCUUCGGGAUUAGCGGCGGACGGGUGAGUAACGCGUGGGAACGUGCCCUUUGGUACGGAACAACUGAGGGAAACUUCAGCUAAUACCGUAUGUGCCCUUCGGGGGAAAGAUUUAUCGCCAUUGGAGCGGCCCGCGUUGGAUUAGGUAGUUGGUGAGGUAAAGGCUCACCAAGCCUACGAUCCAUAGCUGGUCUGAGAGGAUGACCAGCCACACUGGGACUGAGACACGGCCCAGACUCCUACGGGAGGCAGCAGUAGGGAAUCUUGCGCAAUGGGCGAAAGCCUGACGCAGCCAUGCCGCGUGAAUGAUGAAGGUCUUAGGAUUGUAAAAUUCUUUCACCGGGGACGAUAAUGACGGUACCCGGAGAAGAAGCCCCGGCUAACUUCGUG